UAGGGAAUCUUCGGCAAUGGACGAAAGUCUGACCGAGCAACGCCGCGUGAGUGAAGAAGGUUUUCGGAUCGUAAAACUCUGUUGUUAGAGAAGAACAAGGACGUUAGUAACUGAACGUCCCCUGACGGUAUCUAACCAGAAAGCCACGGCUAACUACGUGCCAGCAGCCGCGGUAAUACGUAAGUGGCAAGCGUUGUCCGGAUUUAUUGGGCGUAAAGCGAGCGCAGGCGGUUUCUUAAGUCUGAUGUGAAAGCCCCCGGCUCAACCGGGGAGGGUCAUUGGAAACUGGGAGACUUGAGUGCUGAAGAGGAGAGUGGAAUUCCAUGUGUAGCGGUGAAAUGCGUAGAUAUAUGGAGGAACACCAGUGGCGAAGGCGGCUCUCUGGUCUGUAACUGACGCUGAGGCUCGAAAGCGUGGGGAGCAAACAGG
RNAcentral lists this ribosomal RNA (429 nucleotides) under Gemmatimonadota bacterium. Its description in RNAcentral is "Gemmatimonadetes bacterium partial 16S ribosomal RNA". It matches the Rfam family "Bacterial small subunit ribosomal RNA", at positions 355 to 776 of the family's 1533-position model. Lineage: Bacteria; Pseudomonadati; Gemmatimonadota. The record is from RNAcentral.